CCAAUAGCGUAUAUUAAAGUUGUUGCAGUUAAAAAGCUCGUAGUUGAAUUUCGGAAUCUGUCCGUCGGUCGGGCUUCACUGUCCGCACUGGUGUGAUGGGUUUCUACCUUCUGAAUAACCGGCAUGUCAUUAAUUUGGUGCGCCGGGGAAGCAGAACUAUUACCUUGAAAAAAUCAGAGUGCUUAAAGCAGGAUAUCGCCUGAAUAGAUUAGCAUGGAAUAAUAAAAUAGGACGGCAUGGUUCUAUUUUGUUGGUUUCUAGGAUCACCGUAAUGAUUAAUAGGGAUAGUUGGGGGCAUUAGUAUUCAAUUGUCAGAGGUGAAAUUCUUGGAUUUAUUGAAGACUAACUUCUGCGAAAGCAUUUGCCAAGGAUGUUUUCAUUAAUCAAGAACGAAAGUUAGGGGAUCGAAGACGAUCAGAUACCGUCGUAGUCUUAACCAUAAACUAUGCCGACUAGGGAUCGGACGAUGUUAAUUUUUUAAUGACUCGUUCGGCGCCUUACG
Molecule: ribosomal RNA, 502 nt
Filed under: uncultured Glomeromycotina
Lineage: Eukaryota; Fungi; Glomeromycota
Description: partial small subunit ribosomal RNA
Rfam family: Eukaryotic small subunit ribosomal RNA
Source: RNAcentral